This 264-nucleotide long non-coding RNA is filed under the name Lathyrus oleraceus (garden pea). RNAcentral describes it as "Pisum sativum (pea) long non-coding RNA (PSAT_LNC015342)". Lineage: Eukaryota; Viridiplantae; Streptophyta; Magnoliopsida; Fabales; Fabaceae. The record is from RNAcentral.
AAUAAUUAAGAGUAUGCUCGCCAAGGAUUCACAUCCUUGUGCCUACGUAUUCUCAUUGUGCAAAGAGAAAAUCAGAGCAAUCGUAGUUCAUAGAACCACGAGAACAAAGAGAGAGAUAGAAAGUGAUGAAAAGUAUAACUUGUACCAACAGAAUGGUAUCAAGGGAACCCACAAAUGGAAAGUGAACUUGGAACCAAAGAGUAAAACUGGCGUUUAUCGAUAUGUGCGCUAGCAUGGCUGCCGCUAUAGGGUAAGGCCAAAAAC